UCAAUCGUAAGGUUCAUGGCGGCCGGCCACCUGCUGGCUGACUAGCCACCUUAAUUUAGCAACCAAAUUAUUUUCAUUUAAAAAAAAAUAAAAAAACGAAGAAGAAAUUUGUGGAGAGUUCUAAAAAUUGAACGUAUAUGCAAAACGACUGGUAGAUAUUAAACGUGAGGUUUCUCCCAUUCAUAUUUAUCACCUAUAUCCAAAGUAAUUGCUUGAUAUCAGCUCAACACAAAGGACACGCCAUUUGCAUUAUUUAUUAAUUUGUUUUGGAUCUAGAAAUAGACAUUGACAUUCCCCUUCCUCCUAUAAUUGAACUAAGAGUGGGAGAUAUUAUCAUGUUAUUAUUGUAUAUAUAUGCAUGAUCGAACCAACUGGUGUUUGAAAGACCCAUUUUGGUGGAGGAUCAUGGCAUGGGGAACUUGUGGCUGCUUUGCCUUGGUUCACUAAGGUUGAGCCAGUUCAGCUUAUAAUUAUUGGCAUGGAGAUUAUGACAAGCACAUCAUAUUAUUGGCAUAUGUGGUGGGGUAAACCCACCAUAAAGACGAUUCAAUUUUAGGAGGUCUGGUCUAGCUUACAUCAAACUGGGGUCCUAAAUCAGGUGCUCUUUUCGUUUUAGUUUCUUCUUAUCUUCCUUCCUUCACCUUUCUUUUUGGAUUCGCUCUUUGCCUAAUUUUAAACUAAUUUGUUGCUAAUUAUUAUAGAUGUGCCCUUUCAAUUUUUCUUUUUUAAUAGAUUUUAUUGUUACUAGCUAUAUAAAGUUAAGAUUACUAAAUCAAUUUUAAGUACAACUAACCCUUAUGCUAUUAUUAUUUUAUUUCUGAAAAGCAAACCUAAUAAUUUAAAGUUAAUAUUUGCAAUUUUGCAUGUGCUUUUAGGUGUUUUUUAGUUCACUCAAUCUUAUAUUUUUAUUUCAUGUGAUUAAUUUAAAGUAAUAUUAUUAAAAAUAAUUUGAACAUAUUAACUAUUUUUAAAUUACAACAAUAAAAAAAAAUUCAAACCGUAAUUAAAUCUCAAUCAAAAUAAUACAAUCAACACUAUCUGUAAUAGCUAAAUUUGUUGUAAAAUUGAUUUUUUUAAUGUGUUAUUUUUACCCUCCAUAAUAGCUUGGAGAAGACAUAGUUGGGAGAGGCAGUCAUGAAUCCUGAACAAGAUCAUAAAAUGGACAUGAAAAAUAUAAAAAUAUAUAUAUAUUUCUAUUCCUAAGUAAAAAAAUAGUUCAGAUAUUAUUUCAAUAAAAUAAUUAAAUUUUAUAUAAAAAAUCUAUUAGUCAUAUUUUAUUAAAUGAAUUACAUUUGUAAAUUUUAUUAAAAAUAUGAAUUAAACUCACUAAUUAAUAUUAUUAAUAUUGUUAAAAAAUAAAGAGAGAUGGAGAAAAUAAAGAACAAAAAAAUAUGAAAGUAAUAGAGAAGGUACUUUAUUGAUCAAAAGGGGUGAUUACAAUACUUCAACGGAGUCUCUAUUUUUAAGCAUAAGAAGUAUAAAAGAAGCAGAGAUCUAAUUCUAAUAACUAUUAGGAUUUAAAGUACAUUAAAACUUUAUCUUGGUCAUGAGGGACAUCCACUUACUAAGAUAUUCAUAACACUCCCCCUUAGAUAUCCAUUGGAAAAUAAUGUGCCUUAUUAAAACCUUAUUAAGAAAAACCUUGUGGGAUAAAAACCUAAUGCAGGAAAAAGAGUACACAAUCUAUAAUACACAUAAUAUGUUGCCUCAUUAAAAGCCUUACUAGGAAAAUCCAAUGGCACAAAAUCUCGAUUAAGAGAAAAAGAGUGCAACAUGUAUUUACUCUUCUUCAUGAAAGCGUCACAUAUUUUCUCAUAUUCUACGUAUUCAAUCUUGACUACUAGUUUUUCAAAUGACUAUUUGAAUGUAUUUGCUAAGCAUUUAUAUUGCCAUUCUUUUAAAAGUCAUGAGUGAGGGAAAUUUGGGAAAAUAUAUUUUGAUCUCUUCAGGAGAUUCAACAAUAAUCAUAACAAACUUUACUCAUGAUUCUUUUAUAAAAACACAAAUAGGUAUUUUAGAUAAUUUUAUAAUCCUCCUUCAACUACUAUUCACUAAGUCAAAUUUACCACUUGUAGCGACGUAAAAAUUAAUUUUAGUUUCGCUUGGUCGCUAAUUGUGGCGAUUUAUUAAACAUUUGAAAACCAACUUUCGAUUUUAUUAACAAAGGGAGUCGCCACCGAUCCUUUUUUAUAGGUGUGAUCGGACACCUAAUUAUUUUAAAACAAAAAGAAUGCCAAAUUUAGGUCUACGUGAAAGUCCAGAGAAAAAUUGGGGUUCGGGAGUCAGUUACGCACGAGGAAGGUAUUAGCACCCUCGCGACGCCCAAAAUUGGUAUCUCAUAAACAUGUGUUGACUUGAUUUUCAAAAAUACGAGUUCAAUAUAAUAUUUAAUCGUGAUCUGAUUGAAAAAUGAGAAUUUUUAGUUUUCGAUUUUUUUUUAGAAAGGGUGUCCUGUUUUUUAACACAAGCCGACGAAUUUCACCCAACAUAGCGAUGAAAUCGAUGGCUUAAUAUUAAAUCGGUACAUUGCCUUAUUUUUGAAAUUAAUUAAAAUAUGAGAAAAAAAUAUUCCUAAAGUGAGAAAUUAAAAAUAGAUGAAGGACGCAAAAAAAAUGAUAUCAUUAAUGAAAAUAUUAACAUGGAAUACUAGAAUAUUAGAAUAACAAUAAUAAUGAUAUUUACAAAAAAUAAAAAUAAAAACAAAUCAUGUACUAAUAAUAAAUAGGAAAAAUGAUAUAUUUGGUAAUAAUAAUAUAAAAUAAUAAUAUGUACAAAAAAUAUACAUAUAUAUAGGCAUAUAAUAAAAGUAUGUAAUAAUAAUAUCUACAAUAAAAGAAAAUAUUAGGAAACGUACAUAAAAAAUAUAUACAUAAUAUAAAUAUAAUAUAUACAAUAUACACAUAUGAUAAAAAAAACUAUUAAUAUGUACAUGUAUAUCUAUAUACACAUUAAGUAAAAGUACUAAUGCUAACAAUAUUAAUAAUAAAUAUAAUAAUAGACAUAUAUGCAUAUAAUAGUAAGAAACGAAACAUAAAGAAUAUAUAUAUAGCUAAAUAUAAUAUAAUAAUAACAAUAUAUAAAAAUAAUAGUGAUAACAAUAUUACAUAUAUAACAUGAUUAAUAUUUAAAGCUGAAUUAAAUAGAAAAAUAAUAUGAAAUCCAAGGUAAAUACGAAAAAUAAAUGAAAAAGGACCAAAAUUGGAUUAAAAUCAAAACUUUGGGGCUAAUUUUUUUAAAAAAUAUAAAGGAGAAAGGACCUAUUAGAACGCGCAUAAAACUGUGGGGGACCAAAAACACAAUUAAUCCUCCCCUCAAAACAUAACAUAGCAAGAGGGACUAAAUCGCAAAGCGCUACAUACUUUAAGGCCAAUUUUUGACAAAAAAAAUCAUUUUGAAGAGAGAAAGAAAAAAAAGAAGGGAGAAAGAAGAGAGAAGGGAGGGGGGAAAGGAAAUCCGGCCAAGGGGGCCGGUCACCGGCCAAGGGGGCCGGUCACCGGCCAAUCGUCGGCCGCCGCCCGUCGCCGGCCACCGCUGGCCACCGCCCACGAUGGCCGAAAAAGGUAAAAUUUUUUUUUCUUAACAAUAUAUGUAUAUAUAAAGAAAGAAAAAAAACAACACAAAAAAAGAAAGAAAAAAUAUUCGAAAGAAGAGGAAAAAAAGAAAAAAUGCAAACUUUUUAUUGAUGUUUCUUUUGUGUUCAAAAUUUGAAGGGAUUUUUGUGUUUGUCUCCUUUUUCAAUCUUUGUAAAAUCUCCCCCUUUACAUGAUUUUUGAAUGGCUUUUUAUAGCCAUCUUUUACAUGAUUUUCUAUUAUUUCUUUUUCUAUUUUGUAGGUGAUGGUGGUAGACAAUGGAUAUCAAAAAUGGGAGGAAAAAUGGGGCAAGUGGGAAAGUGGCUAGGUGGCUAGGGUUUCUUGGUUUUUUUGGGGGGGUUAGGUUUUUUUUUGGGGGUUAGGUUUUUUUUGGGGGGGGCUUAAUGGGCUUUUGAAUUGGGUUUAAUAUUUGGGUUUUGUAAUGGGUUUGGGUAGAUGUAAAUGGAUCAUGGGUUAAGAGUUUUAGUGGGUUUAUAGGUUUGGUUAGGUUUUGAUGUAAUCGG
Molecule: long non-coding RNA, 4094 nt
Filed under: Gossypium barbadense (sea-island cotton)
Lineage: Eukaryota; Viridiplantae; Streptophyta; Magnoliopsida; Malvales; Malvaceae
Description: long non-coding RNA (GBAR_LNC003414)
Source: RNAcentral